UAUGACAGAGUGCUAAAUUUUGCAUGGUAAUAUCAAGGGAUUUUCCUUAAAUGCAAAAUCAAUUCAUAAUAUUCUUGAUUUAAUUAAUUAUUUGAUAAACAUAAGCCUAAUCUCAUUUCAUACUUUCAUUU
Populus euphratica (Euphrates poplar) is the source of this 131-nucleotide long non-coding RNA. RefSeq lists it as uncharacterized. NCBI's taxonomy places the organism in Eukaryota, Viridiplantae, Streptophyta, Magnoliopsida, Malpighiales, Salicaceae. The record is from RefSeq and is a predicted model, not a curated record. The transcript has 3 exons.